RNAcentral lists this ribosomal RNA (218 nucleotides) under uncultured bacterium. Its description in RNAcentral is "partial 16S ribosomal RNA". It matches the Rfam family "Bacterial small subunit ribosomal RNA", at positions 328 to 539 of the family's 1533-position model. The record is from RNAcentral.
ACGCUCGACACCUACGGGAGGCAGCAGUGAGAAUAUUGGUCAAUGGGGCGCAGGCCUGAACCAGCCAAGUAGCGUGAAGGAUGACUGCCCUAUGGGUCGUAAACUUCUUUUAUAUGGGAAUAAAGUUUUCCACGUGUGGAAUUUUGUAUGUACCAUAUGAAUAAGGAUCGGCUAACUCCGUGCCAGUAGCCGCGGUAAUCUGAGCGGGCUGGCAAGGC